RNAcentral lists this small nuclear RNA (104 nucleotides) under Catagonus wagneri (Chacoan peccary). The record is from RNAcentral. Lineage: Eukaryota; Metazoa; Chordata; Mammalia; Artiodactyla; Tayassuidae.
UGGCUUUGGCAGCAAAUAUACUAGAACUGGAAUGAUACAGAGAUCGGCCCGGCCCCUGCACAAGGAUGACAUGCAAACAAAUUCAUGAAGUGUUCCAUAUUUUU